RNAcentral lists this transfer RNA (71 nucleotides) under Stegodyphus mimosarum. It matches the Rfam family "tRNA". Rfam says of the family: Transfer RNA (tRNA) molecules are approximately 80 nucleotides in length. Their secondary structure includes four short double-helical elements and three loops (D, anti-codon, and T loops). Further hydrogen bonds mediate the characteristic L-shaped molecular structure. tRNAs have two regions of fundamental functional importance: the anti-codon, which is responsible for specific mRNA codon recognition, and the 3' end, to which the tRNAs corresponding amino acid is attached (by aminoacyl-tRNA synthetases). tRNAs cope with the degeneracy of the genetic code in two manners: having more than one tRNA (with a specific anti-codon) for a particular amino acid; and 'wobble' base-pairing, i.e. permitting non-standard base-pairing at the 3rd anti-codon position. The record is from Rfam by way of RNAcentral. Lineage: Eukaryota; Metazoa; Arthropoda; Arachnida; Araneae; Eresidae.
GCAUUCGUGGUGUAACGGUAGCACACUCGGCGCGUAUUCAAGAGGUCCAGGUUCGAUUCCCGGUGAAGGCA